CGGCGGACGGGUGGGUAACGCGUGGGUAACCUGCCUCCGUACAGGGGGAUAACAGUUGGAAACGGCUGCUAAUACCGCAUAAGCGCACAGUACCGCAUGGUACCGUGUGAAAAACUCCGGUGGUAUGAGAUGGACCCGCGUCUGAUUAGCUAGUUGGUGGGGUAACGGCCUACCAAGGCGACGAUCAGUAGCCGACCUGAGAGGGUGACCGGCCACAUUGGGACUGAGACACGGCCCAA
Molecule: ribosomal RNA, 239 nt
Filed under: uncultured bacterium
Lineage: Bacteria
Description: partial 16S ribosomal RNA
Rfam family: Bacterial small subunit ribosomal RNA
Source: RNAcentral